UGGGGAAUAUUGCACAAUGGGCGCAAGCCUGAUGCAGCCAUGCCGCGUGUGUGAAGAAGGCCUUCGGGUUGUAAAGCACUUUCAGCGGGGAGGAAGGCGGUGAGGUUAAUAACCUCAUCGAUUGACGUUACCCGCAGAAGAAGCACCGGCUAACUCCGUGCCAGCAGCCGCGGUAAUACGGAGGGUGCAAGCGUUAAUCGGAAUUACUGGGCGUAAAGCGCACGCAGGCGGUCUGUCAAGUCGGAUGUGAAAUCCCCGGGCUCAACCUGGGAACUGCAUUCGAAACUGGCAGGCUAGAGUCUUGUAGAGGGGGGUAGAAUUCCAGGUGUAGCGGUGAAAUGCGUAGAGAUCUGGAGGAAUACCAGUGGCGAAGGCGGCCCCCUGGACAAAGACUGACGCUCAGGUGCGAAAGCGUGGGGAGCAAACAGG
RNAcentral lists this ribosomal RNA (429 nucleotides) under Chloroflexota bacterium. RNAcentral describes it as "Chloroflexi bacterium partial 16S ribosomal RNA". It matches the Rfam family "Bacterial small subunit ribosomal RNA", at positions 355 to 776 of the family's 1533-position model. The record is from RNAcentral. Lineage: Bacteria; Bacillati; Chloroflexota.